This 102-nucleotide ribosomal RNA is filed under the name Brevibacterium ravenspurgense. RNAcentral's name for it is "partial 16S ribosomal RNA". It matches the Rfam family "Bacterial small subunit ribosomal RNA", at positions 1442 to 1533 of the family's 1533-position model. The record is from RNAcentral. Lineage: Bacteria; Bacillati; Actinomycetota; Actinomycetes; Micrococcales; Brevibacteriaceae.
UGUGGGGGGAGCCGUCGAAGGUGGGACCGGUGAUUGGGACUAAGUCGUAACAAGGUAGCCGUACCGGAAGGUGCGGCUGGAUCACCUCCUUUCUAAGGAGCA